RNAcentral lists this ribosomal RNA (504 nucleotides) under uncultured bacterium. RNAcentral describes it as "partial 16S ribosomal RNA". It matches the Rfam family "Bacterial small subunit ribosomal RNA", at positions 30 to 523 of the family's 1533-position model. The record is from RNAcentral.
AUUGAGCGCUGGCGGCAUGCCUUACACAUGCAAGUCGAACGGCAGCAUGGAGAGCUUGCUCUCUGAUGGCGAGUGGCGAACGGGUGAGUAAUGCAUCGGAACGUACCGUGUAAUGGGGGAUAACGUAGCGAAAGUUACGCUAAUACCGCAUACGACCUGAGGGUGAAAGCAGGGGAUCGCAAGACCUUGCGUUAUACGAGCGGCCGAUGUCAGAUUAGCUAGUUGGUGAGGUAAAGGCUCACCAAGGCGACGAUCUGUAGCGGGUCUGAGAGGAUGAUCCGCCACACUGGGACUGAGACACGGCCCAGACUCCUACGGGAGGCAGCAGUGGGGAAUUUUGGAUAAUGGGGGCAACCCUGAUCCAGCCAUGCCGCGUGAGUGAAGAAGGCCUUCGGGUCGUAAAGCUCUUUCGGCCGGGAAGAAAUCGCACAGGCUAAUACUCUGUGUGGAUGACGGUACCGGCAUAAGAAGCACCGGCUAACUACGUGCCAGCCGCCGCAGUAA